AUUGAACGCUGGCGGCAGGCCUAACACAUGCAAGUCGAGCGGAUGAAGGGAGCUUGCUCCUGGAUUCAGCGGCGGACGGGUGAGUAAUGCCUAGGAAUCUGCCUGGUCGUGGGGGAUAACGUCCUGAAACGGGCGCUAAUACCGCAUACGUCCUGAGGGAGAAAGUGGGGGAUCUUCGGACCUCCCGCUAUCUGAUGAGCCUAGGUCGGAUUAGCUAGUUGGUGGGGUAAAGGCCUACCAAGGCGACGAUCCGUAACUGGUCUGAGAGGAUGAUCAGUCACACUGGAACUGAGACACGGUCCAGACUCCUACGGGAGGCAGCAGUGGGGAAUAUUGGACAAUGGGCGAAAGCCUGAUCCAGCCAUGCCGCGUGUGUGAAGAAGGUCUUCGGAUUGUAAAGCACUUUAAGUUGGGAGGAAGGGCAGUAAGUUAAUACCUUGCUGUUUUGACGUUACCAACAGAAUAAGCACCGGCUAACUUCGUG
This 484-nucleotide ribosomal RNA is filed under the name uncultured bacterium. RNAcentral describes it as "partial 16S ribosomal RNA". It matches the Rfam family "Bacterial small subunit ribosomal RNA", at positions 30 to 507 of the family's 1533-position model. The record is from RNAcentral.